This 439-nucleotide ribosomal RNA is filed under the name uncultured bacterium. RNAcentral's name for it is "bacterial SSU rRNA". It matches the Rfam family "Bacterial small subunit ribosomal RNA", at positions 338 to 774 of the family's 1533-position model. The record is from RNAcentral.
CCUACGGGGGGCAGCAGUGAGGAAUAUUGGUCAAUGGACGGAAGUCUGAACCAGCCAUGCCGCGUGCAGGAAGACGGCUCUAUGAGUUGUAAACUGCUUUUGUACAAGGGUAAACCUGAAUACGUGUAUUCAGCUGAAAGUACUGUACGAAUAAGGAUCGGCUAACUCCGUGCCAGCAGCCGCGGUAAUACGGAGGAUCCAAGCGUUAUCCGGAUUUAUUGGGUUUAAAGGGUGCGUAGGCGGAUUGAUAAGUUAGAGGUGAAAUGUCCGAGCUCAACUCGGGAACUGCCUCUAAUACUGUUGAUCUAGAGAGUAGAUGCGGUAGGCGGAAUGUAUGGUGUAGCGGUGAAAUGCUUAGAGAUCAUACAGAACACCGAUUGCGAAGGCAGCUUACCAAUCUAUAUCUGACGUUGAGGCACGAAAGCGUGGGGAGCAAACA